CACGUAGGGGGCAAGCGUUGUUCGGAAUUACUGGGCGUAAAGGGCGCGUAGGCGGCCUUCUAAGUCGAACGUGAAAUCCCCGGGCUCAACCCGGGAACUGCGUCCGAUACUGGAAGGCUUGAAUCCGGGAGAGGGAUGCGGAAUUCCAGGUGUAGCGGUGAAAUGCGUAGAUAUCUGGAGGAACACCGGUGGCGAAGGCGGCAUCCUGGACCGGUAUUGACGCUGAUGCGCGAAAGCCAGGGGAGCAAACGGG
RNAcentral lists this ribosomal RNA (253 nucleotides) under uncultured bacterium. RNAcentral describes it as "partial 16S ribosomal RNA". It matches the Rfam family "Bacterial small subunit ribosomal RNA", at positions 524 to 776 of the family's 1533-position model. The record is from RNAcentral.